This 200-nucleotide unclassified non-coding RNA is filed under the name Helotiales sp. RNAcentral describes it as "partial internal transcribed spacer 2". Lineage: Eukaryota; Fungi; Ascomycota; Leotiomycetes; Helotiales. The record is from RNAcentral.
UUAAGUUCAGCGGGUAUCCCUACCUGAUCCGAGGUCAACCAUAAAAGAAUUAGGGGUUCUGGCAGGACACCGUUUGACGUCUAUAGCGAGAAGAAUUACUACGCUUAGAGCCAGACGGCACCGCCACUGAUUCUGAGACCCACCGUUACCGGUGUAGCCCGAUACCAAGCUGAGCUUGAGGGUUGAAAUGACGCUCGAAC